GUCGAGAAUAAUUCACAAUGGGGGAAACCCUGAUGGUGCAACGCCGCGUGGAGGAUGAAGGUCUUCGGAUUGUAAACUCCUGUCAUCUGGGAGUAAGACCUGACGGUGAAUAGCCGGCAGGGUUGAUAGUACCAGAAGAGGAAGGGACGGCUAACUUCGUGCCAGCAGCCGCGGUAAUACGAAGGUCCCAAGCGUUGUCCGGAAUCACUGGGCGUAAAGGGAGCGUAGGCGGCGUGGUAAGUCAGAUGUGAAAUCCCGGGGCUCAACCCCGGAACUGCAUCCGAUACUGCCAUGCUUGAGGGUUGGAGAGGUAGCUGGAAUUCUCGGUGUAGCAGUGAAAUGCGUGGAUAUCGAGAGGAACACUCGUGGCGAAGGCGAGCUACUGGACAACAUCUGACGCUGAGGCUCGAAGGCCAGGGGAGCAAAAGGGAUUAGAAACCCCAGUAGUCC
RNAcentral lists this ribosomal RNA (450 nucleotides) under uncultured bacterium. RNAcentral describes it as "partial 16S ribosomal RNA". It matches the Rfam family "Bacterial small subunit ribosomal RNA", at positions 354 to 796 of the family's 1533-position model. The record is from RNAcentral.